AUGGGUGCUACAUAUUCACAGUUAUUGAUUUAUUCCUUCAGAAGCUUUCAACUGGAGUUCACCAUUUCUUCCAGGGAACCAAGAAGUUUGUGGAUUUCCGGGUCCCUUUCAUUCUUAUGCAGUGUAUUGCCAUUAAGAAUGCCCUUUGAUUUGACAAAGUGAUGUUGGCACCUGACACUAUUCCUUGACUUUAUUAAGUGAGUAUAAUUAAAAGUUAUUUGCGUUCAAUUAUUUGCUUAUCUGCUUCUUUGAUUGUGCUUUCUCUUUUCAUCAAUACCAAUUUUAGUUUCAUUUAAUCAAACUGGUGAAAUAAUUAGAUAGAUAAGAAAUUUAAAGUAAAACUGAUGCAUCAACCUUGAUAAGACCCUAAGGUUUCCUGGAAUAUCAACUUCCUUUAUCACUAUUCUCCCUAAGGUUCACCUUGAUUUUUAUAUGCAUUUUAACUUUUGUGGGCUGGGAUAGAGUGGUUACUGUGGGAUCCAUUAAAAUAAACACAAAAUGUUAAAUGGUGAGUAAGGUAAAAUGCUUUAAUAUAAAAUAUUAUGGGGGGAAUUCCAUAAAUAUGUAGAAUCUGACGUAUGUAGAAGUUUCAUAUUCAAUAAGAAAUUGGAUCAAAAUGAUCAUUUAAAACUACCCAUUAGUAGGACAAGGGAGAGGAGCAAAAACAAACAAACAAACAAACAAACAAACAAACUGUUGGGUACUAGGCUUAGUACCUAGGUGAUGAAAUAUUCUGUACAACAAACCCCCGUGACAUGAGUUUACCUAUAUAACAAACCUGACUAUGUACCUCCAAACCUAAAGUAAACUUUAAAAAAAAGCUACCACUUCGAUAAAGGGAACAAUCUUGGACUAUAUACGCAUUUGUUAAACUCCUCAUGUAAGCCUAGCACCUUCCUUACUAGAUUUGUGAGAGGUUUCAGAUGAUACAACAUUAGACAUAUAGAUGGACCAGACUUAGAUGGAACCUGAAUAUCUUAGUUUAACUCUCUCCUUCAGAAGACCAGAAAGGUACAGUGAUUUCCUCAAGAUUAGGUAAAGGAGGGAGAAAGAGAAAGAAAGAAGUCUUAGAGUGAUAAAUAGAAAACAACUUCUGGACUUCUGAUGAAAGUUCUUUCUACUACUGAUUGAGAGAAAAAUAAGUUUUCAUUGCCUGGCAUCUGAACCCACCCCACAACUAGUUCCCAUUGUGUGAGUCUUAGUGUAAAGUAUUCCUCCCUCUCUAAACCUGCUGCUAAGCCAGGUCAUGGGCACAUGAUCCAGUCUGGAAUGAUCCCCACCUGGGGCUUUGGAUAUUGAAGGACUAAAGUAAAAGAGGCAGUGAGAUGAGAUUUGCCAACCAAUAAUGCUGGCAGUGUCCCGUGGCUAACAAGGUCUUGCCAUGGUGUUUAGGUCCCGUAGUGGUUGUGGACUACAGCAAAGUCAGCAGCAACAUCCUAACCCAAUUUCCUGCUGCCUCUCCUCCCCAGUUUCUCAUCUUUGUCCAAGCAUUUCUUUCUAGAGUUUCUGUAAACUUAAUGUGUUCUCUAAUGGCUUCCUAUUGAAUCCUUUUUUUUUUUUUUUUUUUUUGCACACGGAAAAUAACUCUGAUAAAGAAACCAGUGUCACAAAAUAAACCAUAGGCAACCGACUCUCAGGGAAAAUUAAAAAUCAGGACUGGUUGACUGCCAGUAAACCAAACCUUAGAAACACAGCUGCAAAACAACUUAAACAGUUGCCUAUGGUCACCUGGAAUGCCUAUUGAGAGUAUGAUUCAAGAAUAGUAUAAAGGGCAUGAGGAGUUCGAUGACAGCUGAUGAGGUGACUGCUUCUUAUAACGAAUAGCUUAAUGGCGAAAAAGUCAUUUGCCUCAGCAGAUCUGAGGUGGUCAAAGACAAAUUCAGACUUUGGUUUGAUCCUGUGUGCUGAUGAAUUACAAUGUCAGUAGUACUCACAGCCCUGACAGUUUCUUCGGUGCAUAUUGUGGCAUUAUCUGGGUUAGAUUGAAAGCUGGAAAAUUGACAUGGAAAUAUAUGAGAGGAUUUAGAAGACUCCAUGAAUGCUGAACCCUUAAUUCUCAUUAAAUCUCUUUUGCCAGCUUCAGAAAUCUCU
This 2091-nucleotide long non-coding RNA is filed under the name Callithrix jacchus (white-tufted-ear marmoset). Its description in RNAcentral is "lncRNA (ENSCJAG00000086364.1)". Lineage: Eukaryota; Metazoa; Chordata; Mammalia; Primates; Cebidae. The record is from RNAcentral.